Molecule: ribosomal RNA, 793 nt
Filed under: uncultured bacterium
Lineage: Bacteria
Description: bacterial SSU rRNA
Rfam family: Bacterial small subunit ribosomal RNA
Source: RNAcentral
GAGUUUGAUCCUGGCUCACAUUGAACGCUGGCGGCAGGCCUAACACAUGCAAGUCGAGCGGUAGAGAGGAGCUUGCUUCUCUUGAGAGCGGCGGACGGGUGAGUAAUGCCUAGGAAUCUGCCUAGUGGUGGGGGAUAACGUUCGGAAACGGACGCUAAUACCGCAUACGUCCUACGGGAGAAAGCGGGGGAUCUUCGGACCUCGCGCCAUUAGAUGAGCCUAGGUCGGAUUAGCUAGUUGGUGAGGUAAUGGCUCACCAAGGCGACGAUCCGUAACUGGUCUGAGAGGAUGAUCAGUCACACUGGAACUGAGACACGGUCCAGACUCCUACGGGAGGCAGCAGUGGGGAAUAUUGGACAAUGGGCGAAAGCCUGAUCCAGCCAUGCCGCGUGUGUGAAGAAGGUCUUCGGAUUGUAAAGCACUUUAAGUUGGGAGGAAGGGUCGUAACCUAAUACGUUACGGCUUUGACGUUACCGACAGAAUAAGCACCGGCUAACUUCGUGCCAGCAGCCGCGGUAAUACGAAGGGUGCAAGCGUUAAUCGGAAUUACUGGGCGUAAAGCGCGCGUAGGUGGUUCAGCAAGUUGGAUGUGAAAGCCCUGGGCUCAACCUGGGAACUGCAUCCAAAACUACUGAGCUAGAGUACGGUAGAGGGUAGUGGAAUUUCCUGUGUAGCGGUGAAAUGCGUAGAUAUAGGAAGGAACGCCAGUGGCGAAGGCGACUACCUGGACUGAUACUGACACUGANGUGCGAAAGCGUGGGGAGCAAACAGGAUUAGAUACCCUGGUAGUCCA